AAUUUUGACUUAGUAAAAUUAAAGACUUCUCACUUUUUUUCGUGUGUAGUUGAAUGUGUUUGAUCGUCCGAACCAUCUCUAGGUGCAUAGGUCGUAGUUCCGACAUGUCCCAUUAGGACGUUCGGUAGGAUCCAGCAUAGCCGAUCAAAGUGAUCAGUGGCGUGCGCCCCGCUAAGGGUAGAACAAGCCUCGAUCACAGGUCGGCAUUCCGACCGCCGCACAGGCUGCUUAG
This 232-nucleotide long non-coding RNA is filed under the name Elaeis guineensis (African oil palm). Its description in RNAcentral is "long non-coding RNA (EGUI_LNC007057)". The record is from RNAcentral. Lineage: Eukaryota; Viridiplantae; Streptophyta; Magnoliopsida; Arecales; Arecaceae.